RNAcentral lists this unclassified non-coding RNA (341 nucleotides) under soil metagenome. RNAcentral's name for it is "partial contains 5.8S ribosomal RNA, internal transcribed spacer 2, and large subunit ribosomal RNA". The stretch from base 1 to 119 matches the Rfam family "5.8S ribosomal RNA", at positions 36 to 154 of the family's 154-position model. The record is from RNAcentral.
AUGAAGAACGCAGCGAAAUGCGAUAAGUAGUGUGAAUUGCAGAAUUCAGUGAAUCAUCGAAUCUUUGAACGCACAUUGCGGCCAUAGGUAUUCCUUUGGCCAUGCCUGUUCGAGCGUCAUUUACACCCUCAAGCCUAGCUUGGUGUUGGGCGUCUGUCCCGCCGUUCUCGCGCGCGGACUCGCCUCAAAGUCAUUGGCGGCGGUCGUGCCGGCCCCCUCGCGCAGCACAUUUGCGCUUCUCGGAGGCCCGGCGGAUCCGCGCUCCAGCAAGACCUUUCACGACUUGACCUCGGAUCAGGUAGGGAUACCCGCUGAACUUAAGCAUAUCAAUAAGCGGAGGA